This 431-nucleotide ribosomal RNA is filed under the name uncultured bacterium. RNAcentral describes it as "bacterial SSU rRNA". It matches the Rfam family "Bacterial small subunit ribosomal RNA", at positions 338 to 786 of the family's 1533-position model. The record is from RNAcentral.
CCUACGGGAGGCAGCAGUGGGGAAUCUUAGACAAUGGGGGCAACCCUGAUCUAGCCAUGCCGCGUGAGUGAUGAAGGCCCUAGGGUUGUAAAGCUCUUUCAGCUGGGAAGAUAAUGACGGUACCAGCAGAAGAAGCCCCGGCUAACUCCGUGCCAGCAGCCGCGGUAAUACGGAGGGGGCUAGCGUUGUUCGGAAUUACUGGGCGUAAAGCGCACGUAGGCGGAUUGGAAAGUUGGGGGUGAAAUCCCGGGGCUCAACCCCGGAACUGCCUCCAAAACUAUCAGUCUUGAGUUCGAGAGAGGUGAGUGGAAUUCCGAGUGUAGAGGUGAAAUUCGUAGAUAUUCGGAGGAACACCAGUGGCGAAGGCGGCUCACUGGCUCGAUACUGACGCUGAGGUGCGAAAGCGUGGGGAGCAAACAGGAUUAGAUACC